Molecule: long non-coding RNA, 365 nt
Organism: Notolabrus celidotus (New Zealand spotty)
Lineage: Eukaryota; Metazoa; Chordata; Actinopteri; Labriformes; Labridae
Exons: 2
Source: RefSeq, a predicted model, not a curated record
AGUCUCUGCAGUGUGUUUUGUGACAUUUCAAGCAAGCAGUAUAAUCGAUGUUUACCACAGAAGCUUUGAUAGCUGCUUUGACACCGUGAAAACAGGCCAGCAGCAGACAGGCUUUUCCACUCGGGAAUAAAUAUUGUGACAGGCUGCAUGCAGCGUGUGCACAUUUGUCUGUCUGUGUUUCUGUCUUUUUUUUUUGACUGUACACAACUUCACACUUCAGGAUGACCGCUUGUAUUUUUGGAAAGUAUGUGUCCAAAUCAUCUUUUCAACUCUGGUGUGGAAAGAUGGUUGUUUUUGUUUGACCUUUAGCCCCUCGCUGAACUUCUUCACCUUGCACAUAUAAAAGCAAUAACUUCCUUAUCGCC